Long non-coding RNA from Cervus elaphus (red deer), 1755 nucleotides. RefSeq lists it as uncharacterized. Lineage: Eukaryota; Metazoa; Chordata; Mammalia; Artiodactyla; Cervidae. The transcript is spliced from 3 exons. The record is from RefSeq and is a predicted model, not a curated record.
GUCCGUGGCGCGUUCGCUUUAUUUAUGGCGCACAUUACACGGUCGACCUCUUUGCGGUAUCUAAUCCCGCCUUGCAAGCUUUCCUGGAGCUAACAUCAACGGCGGGUGGGCACACUCGGUCUGCGCUCGGUGCCACACGGUGGGGUUUGUUUGUGAUGCAUUUGUCUUGUGUGUGAUGAUGACUGACGCGCGGCAGCCUUAUUCUCAGCAGACCCCGCUGGCCUGGCGACUUCGAGGGCAGAGCUAACUGGCGGACGAGGAGAAUGGCUUCACCACGUGCCUGGGUACAUGAGAUGGUUGACCAGAGAGCACACGCUUUAUUUGUGCCGUUUGUGACCUGGUCCACUAACCCUCAGUAUCUAAUUCCCUCUUGGAGAACUUCCGGAAGAAGUGCCCACUCUGGGGGAAGGAGACUUUUCGUGGUCAGCCGGGCUCCGCUGGACUCGGAAGAGAACACCUUCGAGGCGUCGGCCACCUGCGUGCCAGAUACUGCAAACUUGGACUUGUUUUCAGUAGGGGAUCUUGUCUUGGAGGGCUUCCAAGAUGUGAGGCCAUCCAAACUCAGGGGAAGGGGCAUGCUGUCUGUGCCACCCCAAAGUACUGGAGUGACCUGCUGACCGGGGCGUGUGGACUUUAUUGAUGACCCAGGUCAUACACCUCAGUAUCCAGGGAAUCCUUGGGGGGGAAACUUGGGGCAGGGGAACCCACCUUGGCUUGGGGUGUAUGUGUCCCUGUGGUAACUGAGAUAAGUUUGCCCUGGGAGUGAACCAAAAACGUGACCGCUCUUCUGAGCAGUGUCUCUGUGGUCUCACCAGCCUCUGGCCACGAUGCCAAUUUCAGGAUGUUGAGGUUGCCACCAGGCCUGCUCCACUGGGGUACUUGGAUGGACAGCAUGCGCUCAACCAGUGGCUUAAACCAGCAUUGCGACCGUCACAGAGUCCAACUCCGUACUCACAGGACGUCCAGGAUUGGAGGUCAAGUCUGGGGAAGAAUCAGUGGUGUUCUGUAUCAAAUCCCAUCUUGAAGGCCUCCGGUCCAGACCUCAGCUUCCGGGAAAGACGUUUAACUGUCAGCUCCUGCCCUGUGGACAGAAAUAAGUGGUUGACCACAAAGCCUGUGCCUUGUAUGUAUGACUCAUGUCACCUGUUCUACUAACCAUCCGUGUGCAACCCAUAUUAACAGGGCUUCUGGGAUUGGCUGUCAAGUCUGAGAAGAACCAGCUCAAGUCAGUGUAAUUGGUGGGACUUGAGGAGAGGUUUUCUACUUCUCUGUUUCUCUCAUGAGGAUGAAACACACCUGGUUAACCUUUUUUCCAGUAUCAGAUCCCACCUUGGAGGCCUUCUGGUCCAGACCUCAGCCUGUGGGAUGGGGUCGUGUGGUCGUGAAUAACUUGGCCACAAGCCUGUCCCAUAUUUCUGAUUUUAGCUACCUAUUCCACUAACCAUCUGUAUCUUAUCCAUUCUCAGGAGUACUUCCCAAGGGAAUGCCCACCUAGAGGAAGACCAUGGUCCCCAAGAUAGCUCCAUGCCUGGAACAUGCAGGGGGCAAUGCUGCUGUCAAGGAAGAAGCUGUGUGUCUGGAGGUGGCUCUUUUCCGCGGUCCUCAAGGAGAGGUUUCCUUCAGUAUACUCCAUCUUUUGUGACAAAUUAUUCACACCAAAGGGCUUCCCCGGUGGCUCAGCUGAUAAUGUACCCAUCUGCCAAUGCAGGAGAUACAAGAGAUGCGGGUUCGAUCCCUGAGUCAGGAAGAUCCCCU